Dermacentor albipictus is the source of this 835-nucleotide RNA transcript. RefSeq lists it as uncharacterized. Lineage: Eukaryota; Metazoa; Arthropoda; Arachnida; Ixodida; Ixodidae. The record is from RefSeq and is a predicted model, not a curated record.
GCUCGUUGUCUCUCUGUUCUCGCCGCUGAGUUCGCGUUGCAGAGAGACGCGAGGGCCCCAUUCUUGAAGGUGAUCUGCGACGGGGGCUCAGUGAGGCGAGUGCUGACAGCUUUGUGCUUCGUGUGCUCCGUGUUCUCGCCGUGUCUUUCACGUUCAAGAAAGAAGCGGCACAAAGGUGAACUCACUCGCUGCUGCGGGCGCUAUCUCGAAAGCGAUCGUCUUAUGGGACAGAUGGACGGUUUUUCUCGUUGGAUUUUGCGGUGUUAUGCCACUGACUUCACGAACACUACACGCUCGGGCCUGGCCAUCAGAACUACUGACCAUCGUCGAUUGCAACAUGCCACGCAGCUAUCCUCGGAUGUUAUCAUCUAUGGACUGGCGCAUGCGGAUGGAACGACGACGGCCCGCUGCGAGAACGGAGUGUGUUGACUACUUAAAAGCAGUUGGCAUCGGGGUUUUUCGUGGGCACGGCGAAUUUAUUAGGAUGAAGCCAACUGAACUGCGUUUCCUGUAUUUGCAAGUGUGACCACCGAGGUCCACUGCUGAACCGCCAUGGCAAGAAACGGAACAGCCAGAGUGGCCCAUGCCAAAGCAGGGAUUUGCGGCCAAAAUUCAAGACUACAGUACACAACGGAGACUGAAUGUGUUUUGAUGCGCUUUCACAAUGAAGCAAAGCACGCAGAGGAACAAUCCUGAAAAUUUGUUUUCUCUUUUUUAAGGUACACUUAUAAAUGAAGAAAAUGGUCCGUUUUCGGACUUCCGUUCAAAAGCCAAAUUUGCUAUUUUUGCUUGCGCUGUCCCCUCUGUGCAAUAAAUUGAAUUUAUUAUAGUUCCA